GCGGUUCCGGUUCACGUCGAGGCUCCCCGGCCCGACGACCCGGCGGCC
RNAcentral lists this non-coding RNA (48 nucleotides) under unclassified sequences. RNAcentral's name for it is "L31-Actinobacteria ribosomal protein leader". It matches the Rfam family "L31-Actinobacteria ribosomal protein leader". The record is from RNAcentral.